GAUCAUGGCUCAGAUUGAACGCUGGCGGCGUGCUUAACACAUGCAAGUCGCGCGUGAAAGGACUUCGGUCCGAGUAAGGCGGCGCACGGGUGAGUAACGCGUGGAUGAUCUACCCAUGAGUUAGGAAUAACGGCUGGAAACGGUCGCUAAUACCAAAUACGCUCCGAUUUCAACUUCGGGGAAAGGUGGCCUCUGCUUGCAAGCUACUGCUCAUGGAUGAGUCCGCGUCCCAUUAGCUAGUUGGUGGGGUAACGGCCCACCAAGGCGACGAUGGGUAGCCGGUCUGAGAGGAUGACCGGCCACACUGGGACUGGAACACGGCCCAGACUCCUACGGGAGGCAGCAGUGGGGAAUAUUGCGCAAUGGGCGAAAGCCUGACGCAGCGACGCCGCGUGAGGGAAUGAAGGUCCUCGGAUCGUAAACCUCUGUCAGGAGGGAAGAACCGCCACGGUGCUAAUCAGCCGUGGUCUGACGGUACCUCCAAAGGAAGCACCGGCUAACUCCGUGCCAGCCGCCGC
RNAcentral lists this ribosomal RNA (518 nucleotides) under uncultured bacterium. Its description in RNAcentral is "bacterial SSU rRNA". It matches the Rfam family "Bacterial small subunit ribosomal RNA", at positions 15 to 518 of the family's 1533-position model. The record is from RNAcentral.